GAGAGUGAUCGGAUUGCCGGAGACGAGGAAGUGCAUUGCUAUUGCAAAAUCUGCAAUUUCUGCAUUGGUGUACCGGUACAAGCCUAAUGCUGUACCGGUACAGCAAGCAGCAGCAGCUGCAGCUGCGUGGCAGCAGGGUUACUUUGGUCUUUUCACCUCCCAUACUUAUCCCCAACACCCCAGCACGACCCCAGGAGCUGAGAUAUGGUUGCUGGAGCUCAGGGUUUCAUCUCCUCCACUCUCUCUCUCUCUAGAGUUUUCUCUCUCUACGAGUAAGUCGCCGUUUGCGCCGAUUUCGCGCCGUUCUCGUCGCUUGCUGGUUGGGUGGACUUGGGGUCAGCUUUUAAAAGGUAAAGGGAUGUGUUUUAACAGUGCUUUUCAUCUAUAUUACUGGGAGUUGUUGAAGAAAGCUUGAGAGAGGUAGUUAGCUUAAAUUUCUCUAUAGUUGAUGGUUUAUCAUUGGACUUUGACGUGUUCUUGCUCCGUUGCCUCCAGCAGAGUUUGUUAGGGGUUCCUGCAGGUAGAAAGAAGAUAUCUAGCUGUGAUUUACUUACUUUACUCCAGGAAAAAGUUGUCUUGAGGCUUGAUACAGCAGGUUUCUGAAUUUAAUCAAGCUUAUUUGGUGACCUCGGGAGCUGGUUUAGUAAGUGUACUGACCCAGGCGAGAGGGCAUUUGACCCUUGGAUCAUCGUUGGU
Molecule: long non-coding RNA, 696 nt
Organism: Ananas comosus (pineapple)
Lineage: Eukaryota; Viridiplantae; Streptophyta; Magnoliopsida; Poales; Bromeliaceae
Exons: 3
Source: RefSeq, a predicted model, not a curated record